UUUAUUCAAUAGCUUUGGGCCUGAAAAACACCCGCUAAAUUGCAUCCCAUUUUCCCCAAGCCCAUUAGCAACCAGCGGCUCAGUCUCUGUAAUUCUGCCGAGCCACCCUGGGCGGGCAGGGAGGGGGCUCCGUUCCACUGCCGCCCCCACCUGCCCCGGGAACAAUGGCCUGCCUGAGUCACGGUCAGAGGGCGGGACCCCCGCAGCCUCAGUCCCCCGCCUCUGCCAGCUGAGCCCCGUUUUGGCCUUUCCUCUGCCUUUAGUGGCCUCACCUGUUCUCCACACACUCCUAGGGCCCCUCAAAUCCCUCUCUUUGGGCCCCCAGGUUGGAUGUCUCCCCCCGGGGCUCCCACAGCCUGGAAGCUCGGACCACCUGCCCGCCCCGCCCAAGUGUAAGGGUGCCCUUUUCUGGUGCCGGUCAGUUGUAACAACGGCCAACAGCUUCCUUUCCCGAGGGGUUGCCUGCCGGCACUGUGCCC
Molecule: long non-coding RNA, 479 nt
Filed under: Lynx pardinus (Iberian lynx)
Lineage: Eukaryota; Metazoa; Chordata; Mammalia; Carnivora; Felidae
Source: RNAcentral